UACGUAGGGUGCAAGCGUUAAUCGGAAUUACUGGGCGUAAAGCGUGCGCAGGCGGUUUUGUAAGUCUGUCGUGAAAUCCCCGGGCUCAACCUGGGAAUUGCGAUGGAGACUGCAAGGCUAGAAAUCUGGCAGAGGGGGGUAGAAUUCCACGUGUGAGCAGUGAAAUGCGUAGAGAUGUGGAGGAACACCGAUGGCGAAGGCAGCCCCCUGGGUCAAGAUUGACGCUCAUGCACGAAAGCUGGGGAGCAACGAGGAUAGAAAC
Molecule: ribosomal RNA, 262 nt
Filed under: uncultured bacterium
Lineage: Bacteria
Description: partial 16S ribosomal RNA
Rfam family: Bacterial small subunit ribosomal RNA
Source: RNAcentral